Bos indicus x Bos taurus (hybrid cattle) is the source of this 288-nucleotide long non-coding RNA. The record is from Ensembl. Lineage: Eukaryota; Metazoa; Chordata; Mammalia; Artiodactyla; Bovidae.
CUUCUCCCAGAUCUCGGGGGACACCCUCCUUGUGCCACGUGGCGCGGGAGCGGACGGAGAGCCAGGUGCUGGACGAGCCAGCACUUAACCCAAGGCAGAGUACCCAGAGAUAGCAAGUUCCCAGAGAUCGCUUGUGGAUGAGUGGAUUCAGUGUGGAAUGUUUGCCAAAUGAAGACCUGGGUGCAGUUUGAACAGUGUUAUGAAACAGCAAAGGAGGGAGCAGCUGACUGCCUAGGGGCCACGACUAGGACCAGAGGACAAAAGGGCAGAACUAGGACCAGUGGACAG